CAGAAGUCUGGCAAGACCAGGCCCACUUUCCCACCAGGCAGCAAUUGGCUGGAGCCAAGGAGCAGCUGUGCUCUGUAGACAAGUCAUGUGCCUCCUUGCCUGCUACAUAGCAGGCCCUUCCUGCUGCUCCUGCCUGGCCAUAGUCACUUAUUGGAGAAACAGAAGCCUACCAGUUGCUGAAGAAGGCCACCCUUCAGGAUAAUACAAAUCAAACUGAAAACAGGUUUCAAAAGGCAGAUGCUUCUGUGUCACACUUGUCAGGUUUGAAUAUUGGCAGCGGUGCAUUCGAGACAAAGACAGCUAACAAAAUUGCUUCGGAAGCUAGUUUUUCAUCUAGUGAAGGAAGUCCUUUGUCAAGGUAAAGUUGUGAAAGCCUUUCUGAAUAGCAGCAACAAGAUGAGAAAUGUCACAACGCAAUGAAUUAAACUCUGGCUGCAUAUUA
This 442-nucleotide small RNA is filed under the name Pongo abelii (Sumatran orangutan). RNAcentral describes it as "processed transcript". The record is from RNAcentral. Lineage: Eukaryota; Metazoa; Chordata; Mammalia; Primates; Hominidae.